RNAcentral lists this unclassified non-coding RNA (161 nucleotides) under uncultured Purpureocillium. RNAcentral's name for it is "sequence contains ITS2". Lineage: Eukaryota; Fungi; Ascomycota; Sordariomycetes; Hypocreales; Ophiocordycipitaceae. The record is from RNAcentral.
CAACCCUCGAGCCCCCCCCGGGGGCCUCGGUGUUGGGGGACGGCACACCAGCCGCCCCCGAAAUGCAGUGGCGACCCCGCCGCAGCCUCCCCUGCGUAGUAGCACACACCUCGCACCGGAGCGCGGAGGCGGUCACGCCGUAAAACGCCCAACUUUCUUAG